UUUUUUUUUUCUUCACUCUUCUUUCAGCACUUGACCCAAGUCUGGUCAGCAGUAAUCUAUGACUCUCCAUCAACCUGACUAACACUGUGAACCCUGCCUUGGCAUUCCCCUGAAUACCUACCUGCCAAACCCACCUGCCAGGCUAGAUCCUCCAAACUGGCAACCACGGUGCCACACCCAGCAGGCACCUCUGCUGGCACAAGGGCCUCUCCAAAACAGUUCCCACACAUCCCCUCUUGGAACCCCUCCAAAACCAUUUCUGCUCUAAUAUGGCAGCCCCACACAGCAGCAUUCUUGCAACAGUCAUAUGUGGACCUCAUGGCCAUCUGAACUGGAGGCCAGCCCUUCCUAUCAGUGUGCUCUCUACAGUCAUGGCUAGACCUCUCUAUCAGCUAGACUGGGGGCCAACCACCCACAUGCCCACAGCAGGGCAGCUGGAGGCCUCAUAGACAACCAAGCCAAAGGCCAGUCUCUUCCCCAGCAUGCUCCCAGAAAUUGCAGCCCAACCACAGCAGAAGAUUGCACAGAGCCCACACAGGGAUUACUCAUGGAAAACCUAGCUCUAGUAACUAGAGGAAUUGUAUCCCUGGGCCCUGCAGAACACUUUCUACAUAAGACAACUCUUUCAGUACUGGAAGAUAUAGAUCUUAUAUGUAAUGCGAGGAAACAAAUACAGAGCCAGGCCAAAGAAGAGACAAAAGAAUACCUUCCAAACAAUAAUGACAAAAAGACAAAAACUCAGAAAAAGAACUAAGUGAAAGGGAGAUAAGCAAUUUACCAGAAAAAAAGGAUUAAAGUAAUAAACAUGAUUACCAGACUUAGGAGAAGAAUGUAUGAAGUCAAUGAGAACAUCAACAAAUAUACAAAAAAUAUAAAAACCAACCAGAACUGAAGAAUACAAAAACUGAAGUAAAAAAUACACUAGAGGGAAUCAACAGAGAGUAGAGGAUGCAGAAGAAUAAAUCGAUGAUCUGGAAGACAGGGUAGUUGAAAUCAUCCAAUUGGAAUAGCAUAAAUAAAAAAAUUAAUAAGGAUAGUUUAAGGACAUCUGGGACAAAAUCAAGCUUACUAACAUUUGCGUUAUGAGGGUCUCAAAAGGAGAAGAGAGAUUAAAAAAAAAAAAAAAGACAGAAAACCCACUUGAAGAUACAAUGGCUUAAAUUUCCUGACCUGGCAAAGGAAAUAGAUAUCCAAAUCCAGGAAGCAGUCUGUCCCAAAAAUAUGAACACAAAGAGACCCACACCAAGACAAUUUAUAAUUAAUAUGUCAAAAUUAUAGAUAGAAAUAAACUUNAAAAAAAAAAAAAAAAAAAAAAGCUAUAUGUACAAGGAAACUCCCAUGAAACUAUAAGCUGAUUUUUCAAGAAAAACUUUAUAGGCAAAAAUGGAAUGACAUGAUAUAGUCAAAGUGCUGAAGGAAAAAAACUUCCAAUCAAAAACACUCUAUCUUGCAAGAUUAUCAUUAGAAUGGAAGGAGAGUUAAAGAGUUUUUCAUCAUGGAGUUCCUGUUGUGGCUCAGGGAUAAUCCAAUGAGGAAUCCAAUGAUUCCUGGCUUCAGUCAGUGGGUUAAGGAUCCAGCAUUGCCAUGAGCUGUGGUGUAGGUCACAGACACAGCUCAGAUCCUGCAUUACUGUGGCUGUGGUAUAGCCUGGCAGCUGCAACUCAGAUUUAAUCCCUAACUCCCAUGUGCUGCAAGUACAGCCAUAAAAAGCAAAACAAAACAAAACAAAGUUUCCCAUCACUAAAUGAGCCCUGUUUAAAUGGAAAAGAAAUAGACAAAAAUAGAAAAAAAAAUUAUGAAAGGAAAAUAUAUCACCAGUAAAUAUAUAGUAAAAAUUGGGGAUCAACUACUUAUAAAACUAGGAGAAAGUAUAAAGACAAAAAUAGUAAAAUCAUCUAUAUCUAACAUAAAAACUUAAGCAAGAUGCAAAAAUAGAAAGAUGUAAAACAUAACAUAAAAAUAUAAAAAGGGCAGGGGGUAAAUGUAGUGCUUUCAUAACACACUCAAACUUAACCAUCAACUUAAAAUAGACUCUUGUACAAAUUGUUAUAUAUGAACUCCAUGGUAACCAAAAACCUAUAACAAAUGCACAAAAAAUAAAGAGAAAGGAAUACAAAUAUAAUACUAAAGUAAUUCAAAUCACAAGAAAAGACUACAAGAGAAGAAAGGAAAAGAGAAGAACCAUAAAAACAGCCAGAAAACAAUUAACAAAAUGGCAGAAAAUGCAUAUUUUUAAUAAUUACUUUAAAUGUAAAUCGACUAAUUGCUCCAACCAAAAGAUCUAGAAUAAAAGAUUGGAUUAAAAAAAAAAAUACACCCAGAGUUCUCAUUGUGGUGCAGCAGGAUCAGUGGCAUCUCUGCAGCACCAGGAUGCGAGUUUGAUACCUGGCACAGCACAGUGUUUCAAAGGAGUUGACAUCGCUACAGCUGCAGUUCAUAUCUUACCCAUGGCCCAGGAAUGGAAAUCCAUAUGCCAUGGAUGGCCAAAGAAGAAAAAAAAAUCUACAACCAUACACCAAAAUAUAUGCUACUUAGAAGAGAUACUUCAGAUCUAAAGACAAAUGGACUGAAAUAUAUCUUGGAGGUAUUCCAUUUAGAUGGAAAAUUGGGACAGAUACAUGCAAAGUAAUAAAACUAGACCACUACCUUAUACACACAAAAAAUCAAGAUGGAUUGAAGACUUGAGUGUAAGAUUCAAAAACCAAAAAAACUCCUAGAUGAAAAUAUAGGCAAUAUCCUUUUUGACAUCAAUCUUAGCAAUCUUUUGUUUGUUUUGUUUUUGGCCAUCACUCUUCAAGCAAGGGAAUCAAAACAAAAUUAAUAAAUGGUAUUACAUCAAAUCAAAAAGUUUUUGCACAGAGAACAAAUUUAUUAACAAAGGCAAACUACUGAAUGUUCUAAGACAUUUGCAAAUCAUAUAUUCAAUAAGAUUAAUAUGCAACAAAAUAAAGAAUUUUACAACUUAAUAGCAAAAAUAAACAGCAUAAUUAUUAAAUGGGCAAAGGACCUGGAUAGUUAUAUUUUUUAAAAAAUAUACACAGAGGGUUAAUAGGCACAUGAAAAUAUGUUCAGCAUCACUAAUGACCAGUGAAAUGCAAAUCAAAACCACAAUGAGAUAUAACUUGUCAGAUGGAUAAUACCAAAAGAAAAACAAUAACGUGUGUUGAUGGCGGUGUGGAGAAAAGGGGAUUCUCAUGCCCUCUUUUGGAAAUGUCAUUGGUGAAGCCACUAGGGAGAACAGAUCUAAUGUCCCUCAAAAAAUUAAAAAUAGAACUAUGAUAUGAUACAGCAAAUCUACUUCUGGGAAUUUUUCUGAAGAAAACAAACACUAACUCAAAAAUGCUUAUACAUAUCUAUGUUCAUUG
Molecule: long non-coding RNA, 3365 nt
Filed under: Sus scrofa (pig)
Lineage: Eukaryota; Metazoa; Chordata; Mammalia; Artiodactyla; Suidae
Description: lncRNA (ENSSSCG00050005413.1)
Source: RNAcentral